This is a long non-coding RNA of Drosophila sulfurigaster albostrigata, 1445 nucleotides long. RefSeq lists it as uncharacterized. The transcript has 2 exons. Lineage: Eukaryota; Metazoa; Arthropoda; Insecta; Diptera; Drosophilidae. The record is from RefSeq and is a predicted model, not a curated record.
CUUACCCGAGUCUGAUCGCGAUCUCUUCGUGACCGGCAUAUCGGUAAUAUCACGCUGAUCAUCCGAACGUGGCGAUCUCGAGGCUCUAUCGUUGCUGCCCUGCAAGAGCGGAAAUGAAAAUAUGGAGACGAAGGUCACCUGCACUUCACCAACUCAGAUAAGCGAAAAUGGCAGGCAAAGGAAAAUGCAAAAAAAAAGUAUACGGCACGCGUUUGAGGCUGAGGCGACUACAGCGGCGGCUGUUGAGGCCACGCCAAAUGCAAAACACUGCAGCACUCAAAAUAAAGAAGGGAAUACUUAGUUGCACUUUUUAAAACGUACCAUCCUCACUGCUUAUGUGAAUAACACUUGAUUUAUAUACUCUUAAUGCGAUUAUGUUGUUGAAAUAAAAUGUUGAACUUUUGCGAAAAACUGCUUUGACGUCAAGAAAAAUGGAUACAAUCCAGUGUGACCGUAAGGUAGAUUGCAAAUGUAACCUAGUAUUUUGGUAUAUACGCCGUCUCUAAAAUGGUCAUAUCGCGUGAAGCACCACAGUAUUACCAUUUUUGCAUUAGCGAUAUUGGUAUAUUUUCUAGUACAUUUCAGAAUACAGUUUGCGGUCACUUUGACGUUACAUUUUUUAAGUGUACUUGCACUUGUUGCAGAAGAAUUGCGAUUUUAAAGUGUAGAUCAAAAAUGUGAAAUAGAGCACUUGUGAAUAUCAUUACCAUUGUGUGUUUAAGAGCAAAUCUUAGCAGCUUGUGUAGAAACAAAAUGUACUGCGGGAUUACGUGACCGAAAGCAUAGUGUCAAAACAGCAGGUCAUUUGUCAUAAUGUAGUUCUGCUGCAGGUGAGGGUGAUAAAACGAAAACGCGUCUCGAUCAAUUGGUUGAUAACAAUAAUAAAACUCUUAAUUCAGCUGCAAGGUACGAACUUUAUAUUUUUCAACGGUCUUAAUCUUAAAAAAAACUACAGACUAACCUAGAUAUUUUUACAAUUUUCAUUCGCUGUGACUAAUUUUAAAUUUGGGGGGUUUUUAAUUCUACCACGUCAAAAAAAAAAUCCUCAAAUUAAGUACGAAGGCAACUUUUUUUUGGUGACAACACUUAAAUGGCGUGGCAGUGUUAGUGAAAAGAUAUAUUUAUGCAUAUAAUAUAUUCAUGGAUUUGUACAUAUAUUUGUAUUUAUAUACAAAAUCAAUUACAAAUUAAAAGGAACUAUGUGAACAGUUACGAUAUUAAACAACGAUUUAAUUUGUAUGUAUAUUUUUACAAUUCAUUGUUAACUAUUUACAACAGUUCAACCGUUUCUAUGAAUCACAAUUUCUGCCUCUUUUGUGCAUCAGGCGAUCUCUCAUUCAUGGAUUUAUCUGUGUGUACUAUAUGUGUGUUUAUGUGUUAAAGCUAAUGUCAGUCAGAUGACUUUUUCUUGUAAGUUCCAUCAAAAAUAUUCAAUUUUGCCAAAA